Molecule: RNA transcript, 4663 nt
Organism: Mobula hypostoma (lesser devil ray)
Lineage: Eukaryota; Metazoa; Chordata; Chondrichthyes; Myliobatiformes; Myliobatidae
Gene: hsd17b3
Gene name: hydroxysteroid (17-beta) dehydrogenase 3
Exons: 16
Source: RefSeq, a predicted model, not a curated record
CUCACCUGGAUUUACCAUUGCUUUCCAGCACUUGAUCCAACCCUUCCCUUCACCUCUUUAUGCUGCACCCGAAACAUUUCCUUCCAUGCAUGCUACCUGACGCACUGAAUUGUCCCAGAUGUUCGUUCGAGGCCACAGAUGAUUUACGUAAUCCGAGAAGUUUGAACUCGCCUUGAAUUUAUCUAACAACUAGUAGUGCGUGCCGUUGAUUUACUGCAGCGAUGGAACAGCUCUUGGUUCUCAUCGGGAUUUUAAUUAUUUUAAUACCCAUUCAGAAAUGCCUUAGGUAUUUCCUACUUACCAAAUGGUAUGGGUUACCAAAUUCUUUCUUCACUUCCAUGGGAGAAUGGGCAGUUAUCACUGGUGCAACAGAUGGUAUUGGAAAAGCAUAUGCACAUGAGUUGGCCAAGCGUGGUUUAAACAUAUUACUCAUAAGCAGGUCUACAGAGAAGUUACAAAAGGUUGCAGGUGAAAUUGAGCAAGCCACAGGAAGAAAUGUAAAAAUAAUUCAGGCAAACUUUAUUAAUACAGACAUUUAUCAACACAUUGAAAAAAAUCUGAGAGGCCUUGAUAUUGGGAUCCUAAUAAAUAAUGUUGGAAUAAUGCAGGAACCAUUCCUAUGUAAAUUUCUCGAUAUGAAUGACCUGGAUAAGACCAUCAAUGAUAUGAUUUCUGUUAAUAUGGUAUCUGUGGUCAAGAUGACUCAACUUGUCCUGCCAAAGAUGAGAGAACGACGAAAGGGUUUGAUCCUGAACAUUUCAUCUGGAGUUGCUAAUUACCCAAGUCCUCUCUUCUGUCUGUACUCAUCUACUAAGAUCUUUGUUGAAAGAUUUUCGAGAGGCUGUCAAGCAGAAUAUGGAUCAAAGGAUGUUAUUAUACAGUGUGUAAUGCCCUACGGUGUGGCUAGUCAAAUGUCAAAAGUUGAUCCUGGAUUGACAAUUCAGAGCGCUGAACAAUUUGCAAGAGAAUCGUUGAACUGUGCCCUGCUUGGGGAUCGAAGUAGUGGGUGUCUGAUGCAUGAACUACAGGCCAUUUGUUUCAGAGCAAUCCCUCAAUGGAUUACUUUCAAUGAUGCAGUUCAGGAGCAACUGAUGGGGUUAACAAAGAAAGGUACUGCUCAAAGCAAAACUGAAGCCAGAUGAGCAUCCUUCAUCCACUGUUACAUAUAGAUCAAAUCAACAUUAUUACAAAUUAUAGCUACAUUGAACAAUAUUUGCUCUAUUUUAUCUGACAUAUUUUUUCUUAAUUAUUCAUGGGUUGUUAUUAUCACUGGUAUGUUUAUUUCUUUUCUAGAUAAUCUAAUCUAAUCUAAUCUAUUGCCCUUGAACUGAUUGAUUUGGCUGGAAAUUUCUGUGGAAAAUUAACAGUGAAAUAGCCUGACCUGACAACAAUGACUGAUUUCUUCUUUUGAGAUAGCUGCAUGUCCUCGAGGGCUAAACGCUUCUACCCUGGAACUGUUAUAAGAAUUGGAAAACCAUAGUAAAGAUAUGUUGGAAAUGGAAGCAACGUUUUCAGUGCUUUCGUGGCAUUCUCAGGAUAUUUAGCCUUGACGUUGAUCCAUAAUGCCAGCAGAGAUGUUAUGUCAAACAUACUUUUCAGCCCGCCGUCAUUUGCAAGCUCGAGGAGUUGAUCUUCUUCCCACGCUGAAAUGGAUGACGCGCAGCCGCACCAACCAAGAAUGGAGCUUAAAUAUAGCAAUACAAAAAACCCCAACAAUCAGACAACAAAGUGCAAACUAUGCCAGAUGGAAAAUAAGUCCAGAACCAGUCUAUUGGCUCAGGGUGUCUGACCUUCCAUGGGAGGAGCUGCACGUUCGAUGGCCACAGGCAGGAACGACCUCCCAUGCCGCCAAGUAUUGUAUCACGGUGGAAUGUGGCCAAAGCCCAACAGUAAAAAGUUCAAUAUCCAGUCUGCAAACACGUUCCUCAAUCGUGAUAUACCCCGGAUUGCACCAUCUGUUGUUAGCCAGAACAAUGCUGCCUGACCCAUUGUGUUCCUCCAGCUCCUUCGUCUGCUGCUCCAGGUUUCUGGCAUCCGAAUUCUCUUGAGUCUCCAUGGAAGAUCUGUCCCCUACAAAGAUCCUACCCUUGCUGGAGUAGGGAGAGAGGGAAGUAGUGCCUUCAUCUGAAGUGAAAUGCCUGCCACUGCAUUGCAACACUAAUGGACACUAAAAUUGUGCAAAAGUCUGAUUUUAGAUAAAUACUUGAAAAGACGAUAACUUACAGAGGAAAGGCUAAACACCGUUUGUUUGAAGCUUUCAAGAACCACCUCAGGCUGGAUGGGCCAGAUAUACUCUUGUAUUAGGACUUUUUUGGAAAUAGUAUUAACCCUUCAUAUAAAAGGCAGGAGAAGAUCUGUAGCAAGAAUUGUGGGGUUGUGGGGUGGGGCCAAUGUGUGUUAAAGAUCUAGGUAUAUGAAACAUGGGGACAAUGACCACAUCAUGUUCUUUUUUGUUGCUAUACUUUAGUGGAUUCGUCUUCAACUGGAAUGGGACAAUUAUAAAGACUUUUAAAUUAGGUACCGUUGUGGAGUUGAAAAUCUGAUAUCAAGUUUCUGUUCCUGAUUCCUGGUGAAUUGGAUGAGGGAACUGCUGAUCCCACAAUAAAGUUCCUUUUCCAAGUCUCCUUGCAGGUCAAGAAGAAAUGAUUCCCUAUCUCCAACUUCCCAUGCCAAUGGCAUGAAGGUUAGUAUGUGAAUUGGCCACUGUAAGUUGCCCCUAGUCUGCAGGUGAGUGAUAGAAUUUAGAGGAAUUCGAUGAGAAUGCAGGGAAAUCAAUGUGGGGUUAGAGCACAUUAGUGUAAAAGUGGGUGGUUGAGGGUUUGGGUGGACUUGGUGGCCUCUUUCCAUUCUAUAUAUCUCCACAAAAUAAUAGAAAAGGCAAUCAGUCCUCUUUGGCACUCCUUUCCCCAGCAAAUUCCAAUCCCAGUAAAUCACACGAGCUCGAAACUCAUAAGAAUUCUUUCAGCCUUAUAAACGUAUCUCAACCAGGAACUUCAAGAAGUUGCCCAGCUCUGUCACUUCCUAUGAGGAGGCCCCAUGUUUCCCAAGGUUUUGCAUAAUCUGAGGAAUGAAGCCAAGCCCAGCAGGUUUAGCUGGCCACCACCCGAAUCCCCCUCAAGGUUCUGCCAUCCCACUGGUCCUCUUUCUGUCCUCAGUAUUUUACGGCCGUUAUUUAUCCAGUCUGAAAUGGAAUGAUUUCCAGAAACAAUUGGAAUCUAAGUGCUUUGAUAACAUUGGAAAAAAGAGAAAGGAUCAUCAUUUAAAGUCAGACUAUAGAUUCCGCAGAUGUUGAAAAUCUUGAGCAACAGACAUAAAAUGCCGCAGAAACCCAGCAUUGAUCAAGAGGAACAAACAAUGUUUAUCAUUUAAAGUGGUUCAUCCAGAGUUACGGAAUUAAAGAAGUGCUGCAACUCAGGAGGUGGUUAUCCUGUCCAUAUACUGGAUCCCGGAUGGGCCACUCUAUCAGCCCCAUUCUCCUGUUCCUUUCCCAAUACAAUUUAUUUUUCCACAAACUACUCAAUUCCGUUUGAAAACCUUGAUUGGUUCAAAUAUGGUAGUGGGAUGGGAACACUGUGGGGACAGUACAGGCUCAGCUGGUUGAAUGGCAACCUCUCUGUCACAAUGAAAUAUGAUAUAUAUGAGAAAUAUGAAAGGAGGCUCUGUUUUCACUACAGCCACAGCCAAUGAGUUUUGCUUUUGAUGAUCAAGGUUCCUCUGGAGUCAUUUGCCUUCUGAGCCAGAAGCUGAGCAGACACAGUGUAUUGUAAGCACGUACUGUAAGAACAUCAGAAACAAUGGCAGGCAUGAGCCAGUCAGCCCAUCCCUUGUAAUCUGUUCUGCCCUAUCCCUUGUAAUUGAAAGAUCUGCCAUUCUCUGUCUUAAGAUAAUCAAUGACUUUGUCACUACAACUCCCUGAGGACAGAGAAUGCCGAAGACUUACAACCCUCUGAAUGAAGAAAUUCUUGUAUAUGUCCAACUGAAAUGGACUAUCACUUAUGGCACUGAGUUCUGUAUAUCUGCACCAAAGGACACCCCCCCAGCCCGCCAGGAUUGGAACAAUCAGAACCAGGUUUAUUAUGCCUUGUCAUAUGUGGUGAAAUUGGUUGUGUUGAGGCAGUUGUGCAGUGCAAGACAUAAAAUUUACUAUAAUUUACAACAGAAAUAAAUAAUAAACAGUCCAAAGAGGGAACAGUGAGGUUAAGUUCAUGGGUUCAUGAAUCUUUCAGUAUACAUCUUGUCAAUUUCCCACAGCAUCUUCCAUGUUUCCAUAGGGACACCUCACAUCCUGCUAAACUCUUCCAGAACUGUUGCAGAAGAACACACGCCCCCACCUCGUGAAGACAGAAGGCAGACCAGAGGAAGUUGAUCAGAAUUAUCUUUCUGCUGAAUGUUUAGUAUUGGUGGAAACUUCGCAGAACAGCGCUAUUUUACUAAAAAAGGUUUACAAGAAGCAGGCAUCUGGCAAGUAUAGUAUGAGUUCAUACUCCAGCCUAAAUUGCCAUUAACAAACAUGGGCAAAAAGAGGGAAUAAGAGAGAAAACUAAAUGGUCUAUUAGUAACUGCACCGUGUUCCUUAGAGUCAUGAAUGAAGAUUAUUUAUUUAAAUUGAUGUUUCUGUACUAAUCUUCCUUUCAAAGUCCUCUUUUAUGUGGAAGAACAUUAA